This 387-nucleotide ribosomal RNA is filed under the name uncultured bacterium. RNAcentral describes it as "bacterial SSU rRNA". It matches the Rfam family "Bacterial small subunit ribosomal RNA", at positions 28 to 405 of the family's 1533-position model. The record is from RNAcentral.
GAUGAACGCUGGCUACAGGCUUAACACAUGCAAGUCGAGGGGCAGCGGGGAGGAUGCUUGCAUUCUCCGCCGGCGACCGGCGCACGGGUGAGUAACGCGUAUCGGACCUGCCUCAUACCCGGGAACAGCCUUGCGAAAGUAAGAUUAAUGCCCGAUGUUCCGCAGAUGCCGCAUGGUGUCUUCGGCAAAGAUUUUUUCGGUAUGAGAUGGCGAUGCGUCCCAUUAGCUUGUUGGCGGGGUAACGUCCACCAAGGCGACGAUGGGUAGGGGUUCUGAGGGGAAGUCCCCCCACAUUGGAACUGAGACACGGGUCCAAACUCCUACGGGAGGCAGCAGUGAGGAAUAUUGGUCAAUGGACGCAAGUCUGAACCAGCCAAGUAGCGUGCA